CCUGGUGGCGAGUGGCGAACGGGUGAGUAAUACAUCGGAACGUGCCCUGUAUGGGGGAGUAACUAGUCGAAAGAUUAGCUAAUACCGCAUACGACCUGAGGGUGAAAGUGGGGGACCGCAAGGCCUCAUGCUAUAGGAGCGGCCGAUGUCUGAUUAGCUAGUUGGUGGGGUAAAGGCUCACCAAGGCGACGAUCAGUAGCUGGUCUGAGAGGACGAUCAGCCACACUGGGACUGAGACACGGCCCAG
Molecule: ribosomal RNA, 247 nt
Filed under: uncultured bacterium
Lineage: Bacteria
Description: partial 16S ribosomal RNA
Rfam family: Bacterial small subunit ribosomal RNA
Source: RNAcentral